RNAcentral lists this long non-coding RNA (1884 nucleotides) under Zalophus californianus (California sea lion). Its description in RNAcentral is "lncRNA (ENSZCAG00015009361.1)". The record is from RNAcentral. Lineage: Eukaryota; Metazoa; Chordata; Mammalia; Carnivora; Otariidae.
GGUCUGUCGAGGGUCACAGCCCUGGGCACGCGCAGGAGCCCAGGCUGAACCCAGCUCUGUGUCCUCACACAAGGGCUGCACCCAGGCCUUGCGUGGGCUGUGGGUGGGGUGGGGUGGGAGGGUGUCACUGUAUAGAUGGGGCAUGGGGGGGGUCAGCAUUGAACAGCUGGGGGAGGGGCCCUCGCGGCUGGGGCUCUUGUCUGAGGAGGAAGUUGGGUGAGGGGACCCCGGCCAUGGUGACCUCACUUCCCUGACAACAGAGCCCAUCAGAAUUUGGAACCCAGGUAACCAGGAACCCACAUUCCAGAGACAGCCCCCGGCCCAGCUCAUUACAUUGCAGAUAGUGAAACCAAGAUGUUCACGUGCUGUGUUCCCAGAUCCGGAGGUUGCCGACGGAAGAAAGCGCGCCCAGCAAAUGCUGUCUCAAGAUGUCCUUUUAGGGCUCCCCACCGCCUCUGGCCGUUUGGUCGGAAAGACCACAAGACCACGGAUGAAAUCGGGAGGAGGCUGGCGGACAGCCGUGACGUUUCCGCGACCUGGGGCGUGACCCCACAGGGGUCCCCAGGAGCAGAUGUUCCACGACCUAAGGAGCUAGAGCCGGCUCCAACUCCAUCAGCAGCUCUCCAGGGAGGGGUGGUGCCUGCAGAGACUUCAGCAGGAGCCCAGGAGCCGGCAGUUGACCCGGCACCUGCCCACGGAGAGCCUGACGCCGACCAGGAAGGGCCUGCUCGAGAACCUGUGCCCGGAGAGCCUGCCCCUGUUCCUGCCACUGUUCCUGCCGGAGCCAGGGCCCCUGUGCCUGCCCCGAACUGUGGCCCUGCUCCUUCCCCAGACCCCGCUCCUGCCCUGGAUCCUGACCCAUCCCUACCCCUGCCAGUGCCCCUGUCCCUGCCCCUGACCCAGAUACUGCCUUGGUUCCUCUAUGUGCCAUUGCUGCAGACCCUGUCCCUCCCCUUGCACCUGCCCCUUCCCCUUCCCCUGCUUGUGCUCCUGUUCUGGCCCCUGACCCAAGUCCUGCCCCUUCCCCUGCCCAUGCCUGUGUCCCUGUUUUCGCCUCUGACCCAAAUCUUGCUCCCACUCAUGUCCCUGCCCCUGCCCGUGCCCCUGCAGCUGCCACUUCCCCAGCACCUGCCUGUGCACCUGUUCUUGCCCCUGCUCCGGAUCCUGACCCAGCCCCUGGCCUGGAUCCUGCCCCUUCCCCUGCCCCUGCCUGUAUUCCUGUUCUUGCCCCUGUCCCAGCUUCUGCCCCUGCAACUGUCCAUUGCCCUGCCCCUCCCUCUGCUCCGGUGCUUGCCUCUGACCCAGCUCCUUCCCCUUUCCCUACCCGUUUCCCUGCCCCUGCAUGUGCACCCAUUCCUGCCCAUGACCCGCCUCCUGCCCCUGCACCUGUCCGUUCCUCUACCUGUGUCCCUGUCCGUGCCCCUGCCAGAGCCAAUGCCCUUUCCCCUGCCUGGGUCCCUGCUCCUGCCCCUGCCCCUGCCAGAGCCGAUGCCCCUUCCCCUGCCUGGGUCCCUGUUCCUGCCCCUGCCCCUGCCAGAGCCGAUGCCCCUUCCCCUGCUUUCCAGGGCCGCGGGCCCUUCCCUUGGCCCUGCCUGUGCUCCUGUACUUGCCCAUGACCCAGCUCCUACUGUGCAUCCGGCCCCUGUCCCUGCUCUUGCAUCUGGCCCUGCCCAUCCUCCUGUUCCUGCAGGGCUCCCAGAACCACAGCCAGAGCCCACAUCCUCGUGGGGAGAGCCGCUUGUACAAUUACCCUUAUUUCCAUCACCCGACCCUGAUGCCCCGCCAGAUUGUUUCAUCCCCUCCCCCUGUGUUCUUUCUCUCUGGUACAUAUUAACUGUUAUAUUAUCUUUCCUUAUCCUCUACGCUGUUUAUUAUUUAUUUUAA